CGCCGCGAUGAGCGACUCCAUCCGGGUCCUGGGCGCCGCUCCGGGUCAGCGUGCAGCAGGCUUCAGCAGAUUUGACCAAAAAGUUUGAGGCUUUGACACUGCUCCUGCGACGUGCAGGUAUUGACAGCUGUGCCUCGGAUUUAAAACAGACCUGGGGGAAUUACAUCUCUGGAAGAAGAUUGUAAUUUAACUCACAUUUUUAAAAGAGAUUUGAGUUUUAGAUACCUUUCUUGCCCUGCAUCUUGCUGUCUGUCCAGAGGUGACAUCUUGAGAGCCCCUAACGGUUGGUAUAAUUUUCAAGUCUGAGGUCAAAAUCUUUCUAAGUGACUUGUUGCAUGAGGCAAGGGGAAGCUUUCUCUGUGAUAAACUGUUCUGUGUAAUAUAGAUGCUGUCUUGCAGCUAACUUGUCUCUGGUAAAACAACAUUUCCUCUACAUCUGAACUAAGAAGAUGCCUGCACUGUGGGAUGAGGUAGUAGGUUGUAUAGUUUUAGGGUCAUACCCACAACUGGGAGAUAACUAUACAAUCUACUGUCUUUCCUAAAGCAGCAGAAAAUCAGCAAUGUCAGAUCUUUCACUUUAAAAACUUAUUGUCCAGUUAUUCAGAACUUCUCUAGUUCAAAGGGCUUGUGGGCAGAGAAAAUACAUUUCUGUAGCAUAGCAGAGUUGAUACAUAAUGUCUGGAUUUGUUUAUCCCUGGAAGGUCAGUUUCUUUACCAUUCUGAUUUUCACGUUAGAUUUUUUUAAAAUUCUCUUUAGGGGAGCAGCACAGGUAUGGAAGAAUAGAUUUCAUCCUAACUGUAUAUUGUAUGGGGUAAUUAAAAACUAAAGCUGUUGAAUUUCUAAUUAAGCAAAAUGCUAGUGGUGGUAAUUGGUGCCAUAAGAUAACUCAUUUGAAGUUGGAUAGCUGUGCAGCUAAGCUAUAUUUCCUGAAACUAGGACUGUUAAGUACAAAUUUCUCUAGCGGAGUGAGGUAGUAGAUUGUAUAGUUGUAGGGUAGUUAUUUUACCCUGUUCAGGAGAUAACUAUACAAUCUAUUGCCUUCCCCGAGGAGUAAAAAAAAAUCUGCAGUCCCUUUGCAUGCUAGUUGAGCAUCCUGAAUUUGCAGUUGGAGAGUGGACUUUCACUCAAGCCUGUAAAAUAUCAGGUGAUUGAGUGGCUGGAUUUACAGCACUAAAUGCUAAUAUAUGGCACACACUAACAUUGCAUUUGGCUUCUGUGCUGAAUUUUUUUCAAAGGUGAGUUGUGUUGCUGAUUUUAUAUAUAAAUGGUCUUUCAAAUGUGUUCUGUUGCAUUACUAAUCUUAAUUUAAAUUGGUCAGAUAACUACACAAGUUUUGAAAUUCAUGGCUGCUCUGACAGCAUGUAGCCAGUAAACGGAUUGGGGAGAAAAUGACUUCAGUAGUACUACCUUGUGUAAACACUUCUGUCUCCCUCCACUUGUCCUCCCCCUAAUGCUAGGAUGUGAGAUUGUUAGUGGUUCUCCACUUUUUCUUUGCACCUUACUAAACAGGAGGGUAAUCCCAAACAGAGUGUAGGAUGUAUGAUCCCCUGAUGCCUGUUUUAACCUUCCCCGGGGGUUAUGAGCCCUAGAAGGUUUUCUUUGCCCAGUAAAUCUCAGCUGGGUACAUCUUAUUUAUUUUUUUAAAUGGCAUAGGCUCAAACUUGUUUUCUCACUGCCUACAAUGGUUAAACCCUGACUAGUUUAAUGUGUUGAAGAAGGAGCUACCUGAUAAGUGAUAAUUUUACCACUUGUUCAGUAAGAACAGCCCCUAGUGGGCUUAAUUAAGGUGAAACUGAAGCAGUAUAUCAGUCAUGAAGCUUUUUAGUCUAGACACAACUUUUUGUAACUGAUCUACCAUUCCUCACUUAAACAAUAUUACCAAAUAAAGCUGAAGUUACCUGGAAAUAUAAAUGGAUGUAAAAUGUCACAGUAUAUGCAUAUCUGAAAAAGUCAAAAGAAACUGCAAUAAAAGUUAACAGCUGAUUUCGCAGUGCAGCUGCUAAAUAGAAGAACUGCAGAAGAAACAGUGGGCUUCUAGGAAGAGGUAGUAGGUUGCAUAGUUUUAGGGCAGGGAUUUUGCUCACAAGGAGUUAACUAUACAACCUGCUGCCUUUCUUAGGGCUUUAUUAUUGCAACAGGACCAUUUUGGCUCAGUCUAAACUUCUGCAGCUUUGAUAUGCGAAGAAAAAACUGGUAUAAGCCAAACCAGUAUUUAAUGAUACUAAGCAUGGCAGCAACAGACUCCUUCUGACAACUCAUGUACAGUACUAACCUCAAGGUUGCAGCAGUAUAGUGCUGCUUUUGAGGACAAACAGAACACACUAUUUGCUCCUUCAGUAAAAGUGAGGGGUGUAAUAGUCUCACCUUCCUUUCAAGAUUAGGCUAAGAUUUUCCAGCACUGAAUAAGAGAGAAAG
Molecule: long non-coding RNA, 2416 nt
Organism: Gopherus evgoodei (Goodes thornscrub tortoise)
Lineage: Eukaryota; Metazoa; Chordata; Testudines; Testudinidae
Exons: 3
Source: RefSeq, a predicted model, not a curated record